UGGGGAAUAUUGCACAAUGGGCGCAAGCCUGAUGCAGCAACGCCGCGUGAACGAUGAAGGUCUUCGGAUCGUAAAGUUCUGUUGCAGGGGAAGAUAAUGACGGUACCCUGUGAGGAAGCCCCGGCUAACUACGUGCCAGCAGCCGCGGUAAUACGUAGGGGGCUAGCGUUAUCCGGAUUUACUGGGCGUAAAGGGUGCGUAGGUGGUCUUUCAAGUCGGUGGUUAAAGGCUACGGCUAAACCGUAGUUAGCCUCCGAAACUGGAAGACUUGAGUGCAGGAGAGGAAAGUGGAAUUCCCAGUGUAGCGGUGAAAUGCGUAGAUAUUGGGAGGAACACCAGUAGCGAAGGCGGCUUUCUGGACUGCAACUGACACUGAGGCACGAAAGCGUGGGUAGCAAACAGG
RNAcentral lists this ribosomal RNA (403 nucleotides) under Verrucomicrobiota bacterium. Its description in RNAcentral is "Verrucomicrobia bacterium partial 16S ribosomal RNA". It matches the Rfam family "Bacterial small subunit ribosomal RNA", at positions 355 to 776 of the family's 1533-position model. Lineage: Bacteria; Pseudomonadati; Verrucomicrobiota. The record is from RNAcentral.